RNAcentral lists this ribosomal RNA (382 nucleotides) under Escherichia coli. RNAcentral describes it as "bacterial LSU rRNA". It matches the Rfam family "Bacterial large subunit ribosomal RNA", at positions 1 to 413 of the family's 2925-position model. The record is from RNAcentral. Lineage: Bacteria; Pseudomonadati; Pseudomonadota; Gammaproteobacteria; Enterobacterales; Enterobacteriaceae.
GGGUUGUGAGGUUAAGCGACUAAGCGUACACGGUGGAUGCCCUGGCAGUCAGAGGCGAUGAAGGACGUGCUAAUCUGCGAUAAGCGUCGGUAAGGUGAUAUGAACCGUUAUAACCGGCGAUUUCCGAAUGGGGAAACCCAGUGUGAUUCGUCACACUAUCAUUAACUGAAUCCAUAGGUUAAUGAGGCGAACCGGGGGAACUGAAACAUCUAAGUACCCCGAGGAAAAGAAAUCAACCGAGAUUCCCCCAGUAGCGGCGAGCGAACGGGGAGCAGCCCAGAGCCUGAAUCAGUGUGUGUGUUAGUGGAAGCGUCUGGAAAGGCGUGCGAUACAGGGUGACAGCCCCGUACACAAAAAUGCACAUAUUGUGAGCUCGAUGAGU